CAUAACUAAUGCUGUUUGUGAUGUCAUGAAAAGAAUGCUUAUUUGUAAAUUUUCAAUUAGUGUUAAUCUUUGGUACAAUUGUAAGGUUAUAGAGACACUGAUAGUUUGAUAUUACAUGAUGUUAAUCUUUGGUACAAUUGUAAGGUUAUACAGACACUGAUAGUUUGAUAUUACAUGAUGUUAAUCUUUGGUACAAUUGUAAGGUUAUACAGACACUGAUAGUUUGAUAUUACAUGAUGUUAAUCUUUGGUACAAUUGUAAGGUUAUACAGACACUGAUAGUUUGAUAUUACAUGAUGUUAAUCUUUGGUACAAUUGUAAGGUUAUAGAGACACUGAUAGUUUGAUAUUACAUAACAUUAAUCUUUGGUACAAUUGUAAGGUUAUAGAGACACUGAUAGUUUGAUAUUACAUGACGUUAA
Molecule: long non-coding RNA, 420 nt
Organism: Mytilus californianus (California mussel)
Lineage: Eukaryota; Metazoa; Mollusca; Bivalvia; Mytilida; Mytilidae
Exons: 4
Source: RefSeq, a predicted model, not a curated record